RNAcentral lists this ribosomal RNA (384 nucleotides) under Triticum aestivum (bread wheat). RNAcentral describes it as "partial small subunit ribosomal RNA". The record is from RNAcentral. Lineage: Eukaryota; Viridiplantae; Streptophyta; Magnoliopsida; Poales; Poaceae.
AUGGCUAAGGCGACGAGGCGGGUUGACGAAGCGGCGGCUCGGGGUGCAGCCGUUGACCCGACGGCAGGGGCGGCUUUGGAACAGGGCGAGGCGGAGGCGAGGCCGCCUCAUCCGGGGUGGCUUGACGGAGAUGCGAGGCCGCUCGGCCUGGGCGGCUCAACGCGAUCCAGAACGGAGACCGAGGCAGAGACCAGCGGAUAUGUAGGUGGCUCGAGACCGCGGUGUCGAGGGCGAGGCGUAGCUGAAGCUGCUCGGCCAGGGUGGCUCGGCGACAACUCGGUCAGGGCGACUCGCGACGGCUUGGAAGGCUCGGCGGCCGGCGGCACCCGCGGGUCGACGACGGUGGCAGGCCGCUUGGCGCAGGGUCGACGGAGGCAGAGGUGA